This 520-nucleotide ribosomal RNA is filed under the name Cercopithecus erythrotis (red-eared guenon). RNAcentral describes it as "partial 16S large subunit ribosomal RNA". It matches the Rfam family "Bacterial large subunit ribosomal RNA", at positions 1818 to 2569 of the family's 2925-position model. The record is from RNAcentral. Lineage: Eukaryota; Metazoa; Chordata; Mammalia; Primates; Cercopithecidae.
ACCUCUAGCAUUACUAGUAUUAGAGGCACUGCCUGCCCAGUGACACACGUUUAACGGCCGCGGUACCCUGACCGUGCAAAGGUAGCAUAAUCACUUGUUCUUUAAAUAGGGACUCGUAUGAAUGGCAUCACGAGGGUUUAACUGUCUCUUACUUUCAACCAGUGAAAUUGACCUGUCCGUGAAGAGACGGACAUGAAACAAUAAGACGAGAAGACCCUGUGGAGCUUCAAUUUAUUAGUACAACUAAAAACAACACAAACCAACAGGCCCUAAACCCCUACAUCUGUGCUAAAAAUUUUGGUUGGGGCGACCUCGGAGCACAACCAAACCUCCGAAUAAUCCACGCUAAGACUACACAAGUCAAAGCAAACUAACACCUACAAUUGACCCAAUAAUUUGAUCAACGGAACAAGUUACCCCAGGGAUAACAGCGCAAUUCUAUUCUAGAGUCCAUAUCAACAAUAGAGUUUACGACCUCGAUGUUGGAUCAGGAUAUCCUAAUGGUGCAGCAGCUAUCAAG